GUGGCAUCUUCGCCUUUGGCUAAGAUCAAGUGGUAUCUAUUUACUAGUUUAUUAUUCGACACGCCCCCUCAUCUUGGGGACCAUAUAUUAAAUUGAUUUUUUGGAACAGGGAGAUGGAAUAGGGGCUUCUGUUCGCCCACCCACGAUCGAAUCUGGUAUUGCAGUACUCCAGGAGCCGGUGCACUUUC
Molecule: small nuclear RNA, 188 nt
Organism: Polypterus senegalus (gray bichir)
Lineage: Eukaryota; Metazoa; Chordata; Cladistia; Polypteriformes; Polypteridae
Product: U2 spliceosomal RNA
Exons: 1
Source: RefSeq, a predicted model, not a curated record